RNAcentral lists this transfer-messenger RNA (359 nucleotides) under Bacteroidota bacterium. RNAcentral describes it as "Bacteroidetes bacterium transfer-messenger RNA". It matches the Rfam family "transfer-messenger RNA". From Rfam's summary of the family: Bacterial tmRNA, also known as 10Sa RNA or SsrA, is named for its dual tRNA and mRNA-like properties. Its role is to liberate the mRNA from a stalled ribosome. Lineage: Bacteria; Pseudomonadati; Bacteroidota. The record is from RNAcentral.
GGGCCCCAACAGUUAUCGAGGGGUACCGGCAAGGAAUAAGCAAGCAUGUAGAGCAAUGGAGACAAUGCUCUUAAAACUCGUCUCUGCAAUUUAAAUGGCGAAUCUAACUUCGCAAUGGCUGCCUAAUGUCGCAGCCCGUCCUCUCCUCGGUCCUUUCCGUCCGGAACGGGAGUAGGGCGUCGGCAAAGGACGGAGUGGCUUUGUGAUGCUGCCGGCAAAGUCCACUAAUCUGCAGCUAGGUAGGUUCUAUCGGAGGCGUUCUGCCGGGAACUUACCGAAACUUCAAGUGAACGCUAAACAUGUAGAAAGCUUAUGCUUUGGUUAUCCGGACGAGGGUUCGAUUCCCUCUGGGUCCACUU